RNAcentral lists this transfer RNA (72 nucleotides) under Ovis aries (sheep). It matches the Rfam family "tRNA". From Rfam's summary of the family: Transfer RNA (tRNA) molecules are approximately 80 nucleotides in length. The record is from Rfam by way of RNAcentral. Lineage: Eukaryota; Metazoa; Chordata; Mammalia; Artiodactyla; Bovidae.
UCCCUGGUGGCUCAGAUGGUAAAGAAUCUGCCUGCAAUGCAGGAGACUCAGGUUCAAUCCCUGAGUAGGGAA